CUCUCUGAGGAAUUUUUCCAGAACCUUGUUGAAUCUAUACCACCAAGGAUUAAGGCAGUUCUGAAGGAAAAAGUGGGUCCAACUUGGCUCUAGCAAGGUUGACCUAAUACAACAGCAGGUGUGUGUCGUCUGCUGCAGUAUCUGCCACUGACAGCCCGAAACUGAAGAAUUUGGAGCAGUUCUUGUGUUGGACUGCGUCACCAAGCUUUAAGACUGAUUUAAAAAAAAUCUACUUGGACGUAGCCUGAACUCAAGAGGCCAGAAAUGACUUUAAUAAAUCAUGAACAGGGUGUAGUCUAGAUCUUUUGUGGUUUGACAUUUUUGCCCUUGUUUUAGUCUGUUUUAUGUUCUUCUUGACCUGCAGAAGCCGUGCACUAGCUGAAGCGCAGGGAAGCCAGGACAAAUUUCAUGAUUUCUGUUCUGUUACAAGAUGCUCCUGAUCAUUAGCCUUCAAAGGGUCCAUGUUUUUGGCUGGGGACAUGGAGCUCUCCUCCCUUUGUCUUGGGUCACACAGAAACAGCUUUGGCUCACAGGUGCUGAAGUGGCACUGUAGUGCCGGAGAAUUUCCAGUCUUCUCUCUGGAAGCUGCUAAACCUUCAGCUUCAAGCGUGUCCAGAAUGGACAAGAUGGUGAAAACAAAGGACAUCAAAGCAGUGCACUCAGAGAAAUGUAUCCAGCCUCCAGAGUCCCGACAGCAGGGAGGGAGUGUCUGGCUUUUGUGGGGAGCUGGGGAGGCUGCAUGGUAACCAGCGCUGUCUUCUGAUUCCGUUUUGUGAGAAAAGAACAGUCAGGAGUAAGGUUCUCUGUGGGCUUCAGGAGCACAGACAGGCCCGCCAGACUCUCAGGUCUAGUUUGGUGAAGAUCUGGGACCCCUUAACGAGAUCAAAAGCGGACUGUAACAGAGGGAGGGGGU
This is a long non-coding RNA of Oryzias latipes (Japanese medaka), 913 nucleotides long. RefSeq lists it as uncharacterized. Lineage: Eukaryota; Metazoa; Chordata; Actinopteri; Beloniformes; Adrianichthyidae. The record is from RefSeq and is a predicted model, not a curated record.